RNAcentral lists this ribosomal RNA (497 nucleotides) under uncultured bacterium. RNAcentral describes it as "partial 16S ribosomal RNA". It matches the Rfam family "Bacterial small subunit ribosomal RNA", at positions 28 to 507 of the family's 1533-position model. The record is from RNAcentral.
GAUGAACGCUGGCGGCGUGCCUAAUACAUGCAAGUCGAGCGAACAGACGAGGAGCUUGCUCCUCUGACGUUAGCGGCGGACGGGUGAGUAACACGUGGAUAACCUACCUAUAAGACUGGGAUAACUUCGGGAAACCGGAGCUAAUACCGGAUAAUAUAUUGAACCGCAUGGUUCAAUAGUGAAAGACGGUUUUGCUGUCACUUAUAGAUGGAUCCGCGCCGCAUUAGCUAGUUGGUAAGGUAACGGCUUACCAAGGCGACGAUGCGUAGCCGGCCUGAGAGUGUGAUCGGCCACACUGGAACUGAGACACGGUCCAGACUCCUACGGGAGGCAGCAGUAGGGAAUCUUCCGCAAUGGGCGAAAGCCUGACGGAGCAACGCCGCGUGAGUGAUGAAGGUCUUCGGAUCGUAAAACUCUGUUAUUAGGGAAGAACAAAUGUGUAAGUAACUAUGCACGUCUUGACGGUACCUAAUCAGAAAGCCACGGCUAACUACGUG